Ictalurus punctatus (channel catfish) is the source of this 314-nucleotide long non-coding RNA. NCBI's taxonomy places the organism in Eukaryota, Metazoa, Chordata, Actinopteri, Siluriformes, Ictaluridae. The record is from Ensembl.
CACUGGAAUUACUCGAGAACUUGAGACAGGAAACCAGAGCACUGUGGGCGGACAGAGUAGACACGUCUACUCCCAAGAUAAAUAAAAUGUCAGAAGCAGAUGCUUUUCCUGCAUUCGAGGUGCCAGGAAGCAGGAAGUCAGAGCUUUGAAUUAGAGGGUGUGUACAGUAAUGCUGGUACAGUAGGGCAGGUGCAGUAGGGCGUGUACAGUAGGGCGGGUGCGGUAAUGCAGGUACAGUGGGGCGUGUACAGUGGAGCGUGUACAGUGGGGCGUGUACAGUGGGGCGUGUACAGUGGGGCGUGUACAGUAGGGCG